AUGUGGCUGCUUCAGGAGCUGAUGAAAGUGGCUGUGGAUGGCAUCGACGGCGGUGGACACCAGUGCAAGAGCGUUGGCCCCAACGGAGCACCCCAAGCCCGCAAUCACAAUGCUUCUAGGCCUUCUGCCAGCUAUCUCCUUGUGAAAUACUCCCUCCGUUUGGAAUUACUUGUCGUAGAAAUGGAUGUAUCUAGAUGUAUUUUAGUUCUAGAUACAUCCAUUUCCAAGACAAGUAAUUCCGAACAGAGGGAGUAUAUUACAUCAUAUAUAUGCACACAGUGUUUGAAUCCGACUUUGUUUACAACAGUGGCGUGCAGAAAUUUAAAUAUGAUACUGUCAAAUUUUCAGGAUUUUCUACAGUGUGUGUCCUGA
Molecule: ribosomal RNA, 372 nt
Filed under: Triticum aestivum (bread wheat)
Lineage: Eukaryota; Viridiplantae; Streptophyta; Magnoliopsida; Poales; Poaceae
Description: partial small subunit ribosomal RNA
Rfam family: MIR1120/MIR1122 microRNA precursor family (bases 144-258)
Source: RNAcentral